RNAcentral lists this ribosomal RNA (320 nucleotides) under uncultured bacterium. Its description in RNAcentral is "bacterial SSU rRNA". It matches the Rfam family "Bacterial small subunit ribosomal RNA", at positions 28 to 340 of the family's 1533-position model. The record is from RNAcentral.
GACUAACGCUGGCGGCGCGCCUAACACAUGCAAGUCGCACGAGAAACCCUCGCAAGGAGGGCGGUAAAGUGCGAACGGUGAGUAAUACAUGGGUGACCUGUCCUCAAGAUGGGAAUAACCUCGCGAAAGCGGGGCUAAUACCCAAUGCCAUUUCGAUCCUACGGGAUUGGGAUGAAAGAUAGCUGUUACAGGCUGUUGCUUGAAGAGGGGCCCAUGCCCCAUCAGCAGUUGGUAGGGUAACGGCCUACCAAGGCGAUGACGGGUAGCUGGUCUGAGAGGACGACCAGCCACACUGGCACUGAGACACGGGCCAGACUCCU